This is a long non-coding RNA of Macaca mulatta (Rhesus monkey), 3332 nucleotides long. The record is from Ensembl. Lineage: Eukaryota; Metazoa; Chordata; Mammalia; Primates; Cercopithecidae.
GCCUUGUUCGGUGGCUGGCUGGAGGAGACAUUCGACAAUGGCAACAGUGGCCAAUCAGAGUCGCCGGCCCUCACGAAAAAGCUUGAAGAGUUGAAGACGGUGAAACCCGGAGACGCUGGUGAAACUGCACGGUUGGGCGCCGCCGCCGCUUUGUAAUUGGCUGGAAAACUCCGCUGGGAGCGUACCUCCCUCGGUGAUUGGUGAAGGGAAGGGGGCUUCCGAGGACAGUUUGGCCAGUCAGGACUUCCCCUCCCUCUCCAAGGUGGGGAGAAGAAAGCGAAGGGAGGGCGUCUAUAAAGCGCCGUCUCAUUGGCCGGAAGCUUAGGCGCUGGAGUUGGGGCAAAAGGGAGAGGGUGGAGCUCGAAACUCGCGGCGGUGGCCAAUCGGCUCUCACUGCCGUCCAAUCGCAAGACUUAGCUGCAGUGUGAUUGGCCUUCGGCCUCCGUCCCAGGACCUGGGAGAUGCCCGACUAGGGUCGUGGCUGACGACCCGACGGCUCGCCUGCGGCCUCCAACUACGGUGGAAACCGCACAUAGGGACCGCCUGCCCUAGGCGCAGCAAAUCGGAAAGUGCUGCGGUCGGCGGCGCUGGGUUCUAAGAGCUCAAGCGAGCAGAGGGGUCGAGGGGUUCUCCCCAUCCACAGGAGGCUCUCGGCGGGGCGCAGCCAAUUCUGCGCGCCUAAGGCUCCCCUCUGCCCUGGAUCGCGUGUGCCGGGUGUCGGCCUCUUCCCCGAAAGGGCCUGACGGACAAAGGGGGCCUUCCCAGCCGGCAGCAAGCUCUCAGACGCUAAAAUGGGAACAAAGCUUCUUUGGGCGGCCGCGCCCCGCCCAGCCUCGGGGGCCAUUGAUAGAGAGGCCCGCUGCGCUUGGUGUGCGCGGCCCGGCCGGGCCUCUGGAAACGCCCAUGAGAAAUGAGCUCAUGCUGGAUGCGCGCGCUCCUUGGGCGCAACUGCCCAGCGCAAAACGGGCCCCGAAAGCAGAGACAGUGAUAUUGCCCAGGCUGGCAUGCAGUGGCUGUUCACAGGCGUGAUCUCACUACUGGUGAGCUUGGGAGUUUUGACCUGUUUCUUUUCUGACCUGGGUCGGUUCGCCUCUCCUUAGGCAACCUGCUGGUCGCCCACUUCCAAGAGGUUACCAUAUUGAUACAGAACUUAGUGCAGGCACUGGAUCAGCAUAGCACACUACAGCCCAGAAUUCCUGGACUCAAGCAACCCUCCCACCUCAACCUCCUGAGUAGCCAGAACUACAGGUGUGCACCACCCUGCCAGAAUAGUGACAUUUUAAUUUGCCUACAAAUUAUUGCAUUUGUCUGAGUGUCCAGGUUAAGAUUUAGUGCUUUUUAAACUUUACCACUAAAAAGACAUCCUAUUGCACCAGGACCUGCCCAUAAUGAAGCCUAAAAGCAGCCUGAUGAAACAGACUUUGUCCUCUACUCCACAAAAUAGCUGUUGGUUUUAAUAUAGAAGCGCACACCUCUCUCCCUCCCAUACAUGUACACACCUAAAUUCUCCAGUAACUGACUCCUCAGGGAGAUGCUUUAUGUCAUCUACAGCUUCACUUUCCCGGCACAUGGUAUAGGUGCAUCAAGAGCCCUUCAUAACGCAGGAGGAGAAGCAGGGUGUGCUUCAUUUAUGUUUAGAAAAGACAUGUUUAGAGGUUGUAUCAUCCAAUUUGAGUGGGGAAAAGUGGCUGUGCUUUGUAUAUAAGCUUUGCAUAUGAAUGUUUAUGGAAUUGAAAUAGUUGAUUAUUGAAAUGACAAACUUUUCGUAACAGAAAAGCCCUACAUAAACAUAAUGUAUUAAACAUAAUCCCUUGUUAUGUAAUUCUUUCAAGCCCAAAACUCAGAAAAAGCAGCAAUGUGUGCUUUUACUAACUCCUCCCUCAGGUGGGCUUCAAUUUCUUCUCUCUGUUUAUUCUAACCUCUCCAGUUAAACACCAUUCCCUUACUAGAGAUCAAAGUAACUCUGCAUUGUUUCCAUUCUUUACUAACAUUACACACUUCUCGGCCACGCGUGGUGGCUCAUACCUGUAAUCCCAGCACUUUGGGAGGCCGAGGCAGGUGGAUCACCUGAGGUCAGGAGUUUGAGACCAGCCUGGCCAACAUGGUGAAACCCUGUCUCUACUAAAAAUACAAAAAUUAGCUGGGCAUGGUGGCGGGCGCCUGUAAUCCCCACUACUCGGGUGGCUGAGGCAGGAGAAUCACUUGAACUAGGAAAGCAGAGGUUGCAGUGAGCCGAGAUUGCGCCACUGCACUCUAGCCUGGGUGACAAGAGCGAGACUCUGUCUCAAAAAACAUUACACACUUCUCAAAGAGCAAGAGGGUGAGGAUUAUCCCUUUCUAAUUUCUGCUGCUUACUCCCAAACAUAGCUUGAAAAUCCCUUUUGCUUGGCUUUGGCAUUUUGGGGCACAUCUGGAUUCGUUCCAGGGUUUGUCUUCCUGACACAUACACGCAGAAGUGUACACUGUCCUCUUCUCCUGGGUUAAAUACACAUCAGACAAGCCUCAGGUUCUCUGCCUUUGUUAUGUCCCCAGCCUUUCACAGUUAAAGCCCAAAUAACCUCUACCUGCAGGCCCCAGCCUGCCUGAGCCUGUGAAUCAAUUCCCCCUAAGGCCAGAAGAGUAUCAGCCUCAGCCCCAGUGGUCCGAAAUGAGGCUUGCUGCCUAUAGUGUGCUAGCAAUAAAAAAAGUCUUGGGGCCUAUAAGACUUUGGAGUAACAGCAUCUUCAAUCUGUGCUGGCCUCAGCCAUGCAACUGGGAAACAGCAGAAUGCAGUAGGGAGAGUAGUGGCUAAGGAGCCUGCCAGGUUAAGGUUAGUCUUCCCAUUCUCACCCUUGACAAGUCACUGAACCUCUCUGAACCGCCUGUUUUCUCAUCUGUCAAGGGAAGGUAGUCUCUAAUUCCCAUCCCCUGCAGGGGCUCUGUUAUCUAUAUUCAGUCUUUCUAUUACACUGUUUUCAAAUUCAAUACAAGUAGAGGCUUCCCUCUUAAUUUUAUGUCUCAAAUUAUCUUUGCCUGUAGGAUGGUAGAAAAUGUACCUAAUAUGGCUGGGUGUGAUGGCUCACACCUGUAAUCCCAGCACUUUGGGAAGUGGAGGUGGGCAGAUCACAAGGUCAGGAGAUUGAAACCAUCCUGGCUAACAGGGUGAAACCCCAUCUCUACUAAAAAUACAAAAAAUUAGCUGGGCAUGGUGGCGGGCACCUGUAGUCCCAGCUAUUUGGGAGGCUGAGGCAGGAGAAUCGCUUGAACCCAGAAGGCGGAGGUUGCAGUGAGCCGAGAUUGCGCCACUGUACUCCAGCCUCAGUGACAGGGCAAGACUCCAUCUCAAAAAAAAA